GUGCACCAGUCGCGAAAACUCCGCAAUGCCCGAAAGGGUGACGGGGGAUUCCAAGUGCCUACGCUUAGCGUAGGCUGUUCAGGUGCCUAAAAAGCACCUGGAGGAAGGGCUGGGUAAGACGGGUGCCAUCUGUGGCAGCAGCCAAGAUUUGGCUUGCUACUGCAAGGCAUAAGCCGCCGCGGUAAUACCCGCAGCCCGAGUGGUAGUCGCUUUUAUUGGGCCUAAAGCGUCCGUAGCCGGUCUGGUAAAUGCCUGGGGUAAAUCGUGGGGCUUAACCUCACGAAUUCCGGGUAGACCUGCCAGACUUGGGACCGGUUGAGGGAGAGGGUACUCCGAGGGGUAGGGUGAAAUCAGCAAGGUAAGCUGAUGUAACUUGCCUUGCAAGUC
RNAcentral lists this ribosomal RNA (387 nucleotides) under uncultured microorganism. RNAcentral's name for it is "bacterial SSU rRNA". It matches the Rfam family "Archaeal small subunit ribosomal RNA", at positions 330 to 657 of the family's 1478-position model. The record is from RNAcentral.